Molecule: long non-coding RNA, 390 nt
Organism: Hydra vulgaris (swiftwater hydra)
Lineage: Eukaryota; Metazoa; Cnidaria; Hydrozoa; Anthoathecata; Hydridae
Source: RefSeq, a predicted model, not a curated record
CACUUCUUAGCCAGAUUUCAUCAAACAACUAUGGCCCCACCAAUCUACCGUGAAAGUUUGAUACAGUUUAUGAAAUUCAUUAAAUUGACGAAACUUCUGUAUCUGUUGAUGAAGGGGUACUACACCAGGCCCCUCUAUGCUGACGAAAAUAAAAACAAAGACGCUACAGGCAAAGCAGAAAUAGUUUCUCUUGUCAUACUGUUUUUGAAAACAUUGAUUGAUGGAGCGUUCACUGCUGCUUGGGAAAACGCAUUCCAUGGGACAACAACUUUAUUUGAAAAAAUUUAUGUCGUUCUUCACAAUUCCCUUCUAGCUGGCGUUCUAGCUUAAUAUUAUGCCCUCUCAAAAUAUACUUGGCUUUGCAGUUUGAAAGAAAAAGUUCGAGUUGAA